RNAcentral lists this long non-coding RNA (921 nucleotides) under Homo sapiens (human). Its description in RNAcentral is "HSALNT0339038". The record is from RNAcentral. Lineage: Eukaryota; Metazoa; Chordata; Mammalia; Primates; Hominidae.
CUCAAUCUCCUGACCUCGUGAUCCGCCCGCCUCGGCCUCCCAAAGUGCCGGGAUUACAGGCGAGAGCCACCACGCCCCACCAAAAAAAAUAUUCUUUAAUUUUUUUUAAGGUCAGCUUUCCUCCCUGGGCAAAAGAUUUGGAGGCAGUGUGUUUCCUUGCAAGCAGCCAGGUCUGGCCAAGGGCAGGAGGCUUGGGUAUUAGAUAGUCCUGGCUUCAACGCUUUGCUCCGCUGGUUAGAAGCUGGGUGCCCUCGGGAAAAUCACCAAACCUCUCUGGGCUUUGGCUUCCUGCUUUGUAAUAUCAGCAAAUUAUCCUUACCCCACGGGGGGAGUCUGUGUGAAUCGGUGAAGACAGCAUCUAGAAACCACCAAGGGAGACUGGCACCCCGGAGGAGACCCAGACAGGUGAGCCUCUGCCUGCCCCGCUUCCAGCUCUUUCUCGUCACACCUGCUGAAUACCACGCCUGUGACAUUAGCAUGCUCAUUGGAAGUGGGUGCUGGAAUUGUCACUGGCUCUUUCUGAAUCCCAUAGAUGCUGUCCCCAGAGCCUGCAUUUCGGCAUCUGGUUACGCUGUACAUGGUGGCAAAUUUGACAGGUGCCCAUCUCCCAACCCUUUGACCUCUACCUGCCCCCUCUCAGCACUCGUGGUGCAUGAAGCCAUCAUGGGCACCCUUAGCACCCCAAGCUGCUCCCACCUCCCACUUCCUGAGCCCAGUAGCAGGGGCUCAGGCAUCGGUAGAAGGAAAUGCUCUGUAGCUUUUGCAAACUGAUACGGAAAAGAGAGUUUGGGAUAUGGUGGCUCAUGCCUAUAAUCCCAGCACUUUGUGCGGCCGAGGCGGGCAGAUCACUUGAAGUCAGGAGUUCGAGACCAGCCUGGCCAACAUGGUGAUCCACCUGCCUUGGCCUCCCAAAGCACUGGG